Molecule: ribosomal RNA, 229 nt
Filed under: uncultured bacterium
Lineage: Bacteria
Description: partial 16S ribosomal RNA
Rfam family: Bacterial small subunit ribosomal RNA
Source: RNAcentral
UCCGUAGGCGGGCUAAUAAGUCAGGGGUGAAAUCCAACAGCUUAACUGUUGAACUGCUUUUGAUACUGUUAGUCUUGAAUUAUAUGGAAGUAGAUAGAAUGUGUAGUGUAGCGGUGAAAUGCUUAGAGAUUACACAGAAUACCGAUUGCGAAGGCAGUCUACUACAUAAAUAUUGACGCUAAUGGACGAAAGCGUGGGGAGCGAACAGGAUUAGAUACCCUGGUAGUCC